Molecule: transfer RNA, 86 nt
Filed under: Rhodobacterales bacterium 56_14_T64
Lineage: Bacteria; Pseudomonadati; Pseudomonadota; Alphaproteobacteria; Rhodobacterales
Also listed under: 2 other names
Description: tRNA-Leu
Rfam family: tRNA
About the family: Transfer RNA (tRNA) molecules are approximately 80 nucleotides in length. Their secondary structure includes four short double-helical elements and three loops (D, anti-codon, and T loops).
Source: RNAcentral
GCCCAGAUGGCGGAAUGGUAGACGCGCUGGCUUCAGGUGCCAGUGACCGCAAGGUCGUGGAGGUUCGAGUCCUCUUCUGGGCACCA